UGAGUUCUCAACUUCUACUCCUUUUGUUACUACCACUUCUUCUACUACUUCUGCUACUACUUCUACUACUACUUCUCGGGAAACAAGCAUCUUCUCAAUAACGUUUCGGGGGGACGUUUUUCGAGGUUUAGGGUAGUUCUACUUUAUGAUUAACCAUACCUACACGAAGAUAUACGUACCUGACCAGGACUUUGAGGACAACGAUUCCGUCGUUAAUAGAGUCAACAGGUCUGUAUUAACGCCCGAGCCUAGGGGAACCUGGUCGUGAAUACUCCAACAACGGUUACAACACUAGUCUUCCCUACGAUGCGAAGGAAUACUUAUACUACCAAAUGCUAAACAGUGACUACGUCAGUGUUCCAGGUAACGUACCGGUAGAUCGUUCGGGAUGUUCGGUCCCCGUAGAAGUAGUAGAGCGGCGAUUCGUGCGCGUUAAAGAGGUAAGAUUGAUCCGUACUUCUUCCGCGGGUGGGUACUCGAUAAUUAGUC
RNAcentral lists this ribosomal RNA (489 nucleotides) under Triticum aestivum (bread wheat). RNAcentral describes it as "partial small subunit ribosomal RNA". The record is from RNAcentral. Lineage: Eukaryota; Viridiplantae; Streptophyta; Magnoliopsida; Poales; Poaceae.